UGAAAAGCUCGGUAACAGCUUCAAGAAGGCCAAAUCUGUUUUAAUUAGCAAGGUGGGCUGUGAUGAGCAUAAGAGUUUGUGCAGAAAAUAUGGAGUCUCAUGGUACCCAACAAUUCAGUGGUUUCCAAAAGGAUCUCUAGAACCCAAAAAGAAAGUUGGAAGGUCAUGCUCUUCAUCAUAGGAAAUGAAACUUUUAAGAAAUUGGGAGCAAUUGGAACAUCAGUAAACUUGUUGGUCAAUCUUACGUAUUCAACCUGAACAACAUCACAGCUGCAAAUAUCAUCAACAUAUUCAAUGGCAACACCAACCUUGCUACUUUACUUGGUGCUUUCUUUUAUGAUACAUUUUUUGGUCGCUACAACACAUUAGCAUUAUGCACUAUCACUUCCUUUCUGGUAUUAAUUUAAUAGAUAAAUAAUUCAUUUCACGCAAAGAAAAAAAAUCAAUAAAUUGUGCUAAAUUUUCUAUGAAUCACUACAUUUUUAAUUCUAUUUUCAUGCAUCUAAUAGGGAUUGCUUGCAAAUGACAAUAUUAGCUUAAUAGACACUAUUCAACAAAGUUCUAUGAAUCACUACACUUUUGUGUUUUUGUGUCUUAUAUGGUGUCUGUAUUUCAUAUUCAAUUUUAAUUCUUGUUCCCUGCAUCCAAACAAGGAUUGCUUGCAACACAACUAACAACAGUAUUCAAGAAUUUUCAUCCCCCACACUGUGGAAAGGAAAGCCUCACAUGCAAAGGUCCAACAACUGGCCAAAUGGCUUUUCUAAUAUCAGGAUUUGGUCUCUCUUAGUAGGUGCAGCAGGGGUUAAACCAUGUAAUUUAGCAUUUGGGGUUUUGAUCAGUUCAACCCCAAAACAGAUUCAGGAAAGAAAAGAAUCAAUUGUUUUUUCAAUUGGAAUUUCUUUACAUUCACUUUUGCACAGAUGGUGUCUUUAACACUAAUUGUAUAUAGUCAAUCAAAUGUGAGUUGGGCUAUUGGUUUGGGAAUUCCUGUUGCUUUGAUGUUCAUAUCAUGUGUUGUGUUUUUCAUGGGAGCUAAAUUGUAUGUUAAAGUUAAACCAUGUGGUAGUCCUGUCACUAGUAUUGUUCAAGUCAUAGUUGUUGAUGUCAAGAAAAGAAGACUUAAACUACCUUCUGACCAGUGGUUACUGUAUAUUUAGCUAGACCACAUUUGGUUAAGCCCUUGAAGCAUGUACUUUUGCUGCUUUCAGCAAAUUCACAUGGAAGGAAUUAACUAGAGCAGGAUGAAAUUACUUUGGUUGUUGUAA
Molecule: non-coding RNA, 1265 nt
Organism: Cicer arietinum (chickpea)
Lineage: Eukaryota; Viridiplantae; Streptophyta; Magnoliopsida; Fabales; Fabaceae
Source: RefSeq, a predicted model, not a curated record